AAAAUCAGCUUUUGUAUUGGAGUUGGAACAUUCUUCCUGCUCUCUUCCUCUUUCACCACAGAUCUCAAUUUUAGCUUGAUUUCUGUAAUUUCCUACAUGGGUCUUGUGUAUCUUGCUGCAAUCUUUUUCUAUAAAUCAAUUCUUUACAGGUAAAUCUCCCAAAC
Long non-coding RNA from Telopea speciosissima, 164 nucleotides. RefSeq lists it as uncharacterized. The record is from RefSeq and is a predicted model, not a curated record. Lineage: Eukaryota; Viridiplantae; Streptophyta; Magnoliopsida; Proteales; Proteaceae. The transcript has 2 exons.